Molecule: ribosomal RNA, 253 nt
Filed under: uncultured bacterium
Lineage: Bacteria
Description: partial 16S ribosomal RNA
Rfam family: Bacterial small subunit ribosomal RNA
Source: RNAcentral
UACGUAGGGUGCGAGCGUUGUCCGGAAUCAUUGGGCGUAAAGCGCGUGUAGGCGGCCCGGUAAGUCCGCUGUGAAAGUCCAGGGCUCAACCCUGGGAUGCCGGUGGAUACUGUCGGGCUCGAGUCCGGAAGAGGCGAGUGGAAUUCCUGGUGUAGCGGUGAAAUGCGCAGAUAUCGUAAGGAAGACCAGUGGCGAAGGCGAAUCUCUGGACAGUUACUGACACUGAGGCACGAAGGCCAGGGGAGCAAACGGG